AAUUUCUCAAGCUUGGAUGGCUUUUUUGUCUGUCCUUAGCCUUGGUUGUUGGGCUUUGCCGUGUCCUUUGUUGGGACGGCUGGCCUCAAAAGCAUUGGCUGAUCCUUGUGUGGCACUGGUUCUACCCAGCGUGAUAACAGUCUGAUCGCUGAGGACAUCUUUUGGGAUGGCCAGUUCUCAUUUGGGUUGCUUCCAAACUUGGUUUUGCAGAUUCUUCAAUCUGUGCUCCACUUUUCAG
RNAcentral lists this unclassified non-coding RNA (238 nucleotides) under uncultured Clavulina. RNAcentral describes it as "sequence contains ITS2". The record is from RNAcentral. Lineage: Eukaryota; Fungi; Basidiomycota; Agaricomycetes; Cantharellales; Hydnaceae.